Molecule: transfer RNA, 73 nt
Filed under: Pseudo-nitzschia pungens
Lineage: Eukaryota; Bacillariophyta; Bacillariophyceae; Bacillariales; Bacillariaceae
Also listed under: 4 other names
Description: tRNA-Phe
Rfam family: tRNA
About the family: Transfer RNA (tRNA) molecules are approximately 80 nucleotides in length. Their secondary structure includes four short double-helical elements and three loops (D, anti-codon, and T loops).
Source: RNAcentral
GUCCAAAUAGCUCAGUUGGUAGAGCAAAGGACUGAAAAUCCUUGUGUCGGCAGUUCGAGUCUGCCUUUGGACA